GGGGUCAUAAUGGGGGGGUCCCUAAUCCAACAGGACUAGUGGCCUUGUGAGAAGAGAGAGCAACACCAGCAAUGCACAUGCAAAGAGGAAAGGCCCUGCAAGGAUGCUAAGAACGAGGACGGCCAUCCGCCCACCAAGGAGAGAAGUAUCAGGAGGAACAAACCGGCCAACACCUUGAUCUUGGACUUCCAGCCUCCAGAACUGUCCGCAGCUUGGGCUACCUUCCAGCAUAAAGUCACUAAAGAUGUGCCGGGCAUGAUGAAGGAAGAAAGCGACUACAUGCUGAAGGAGAUGGUGCGGGGACUCGCUAGUACCUAUUGGCAGGACCUGGGGAACUUUGGUGGGUGCUUGAUAAUGGGGACUGGAAUAAAAACUGGCUAAGCAAAAA
Molecule: long non-coding RNA, 388 nt
Organism: Homo sapiens (human)
Lineage: Eukaryota; Metazoa; Chordata; Mammalia; Primates; Hominidae
Product: long intergenic non-protein coding RNA 2663
Source: Ensembl